RNAcentral lists this ribosomal RNA (253 nucleotides) under uncultured bacterium. RNAcentral's name for it is "partial 16S ribosomal RNA". It matches the Rfam family "Bacterial small subunit ribosomal RNA", at positions 524 to 776 of the family's 1533-position model. The record is from RNAcentral.
UACAGAGGGGGCAAGCGUUGUUCGGAAUUACUGGGCGUAAAGGGCGCGUAGGCGGCCGCCUAAGUCAGACGUGAAAUCCCUCGGCUCAACCGGGGAACUGCGUCUGAUACUGGAAGGCUUGAAUCCGGGAGAGGGAUGCGGAAUUCCAGGUGUAGCGGUGAAAUGCGUAGAUAUCUGGAGGAACACCGGUGGCGAAGGCGGCAUCCUGGACCGGUAUUGACGCUGAGACGCGAAAGCGUGGGGAGCAAACAGG